RNAcentral lists this ribosomal RNA (432 nucleotides) under uncultured Phenylobacterium sp. Its description in RNAcentral is "bacterial SSU rRNA". It matches the Rfam family "Bacterial small subunit ribosomal RNA", at positions 342 to 791 of the family's 1533-position model. Lineage: Bacteria; Pseudomonadati; Pseudomonadota; Alphaproteobacteria; Caulobacterales; Caulobacteraceae. The record is from RNAcentral.
CGGGGGGCAGCAGUAGGGAAUCUUGCGCAAUGGGCGAAAGCCUGACGCAGCCAUGCCGCGUGAAUGAUGAAGGUCUUAGGAUUGUAAAAUUCUUUCACCGGGGAAGAUAAUGACGGUACCCGGAGAAGAAGCCCCGGCUAACUUCGUGCCAGCAGCCGCGGUAAUACGAAGGGGGCUAGCGUUGCUCGGAAUUACUGGGCGUAAAGGGCGCGUAGGCGGAUAGUUUAGUCAGAGGUGAAAGCCCAGGGCUCAACCUUGGAACUGCCUUUGAUACUGGCUAUCUUGAGUUCGGGAGAGGUGAGUGGAAUGCCGAGUGUAGAGGUGAAAUUCGUAGAUAUUCGGCGGAACACCAGUGGCGAAGGCGACUCACUGGCCCGAUACUGACGCUGAGGCGCGAAAGCGUGGGGAGCAAACAGGAUUAGAUACCCCAGU